RNAcentral lists this unclassified non-coding RNA (777 nucleotides) under Hevea brasiliensis (rubber tree). Lineage: Eukaryota; Viridiplantae; Streptophyta; Magnoliopsida; Malpighiales; Euphorbiaceae. The record is from RNAcentral.
GAGAGAGAGAGAGAGAGAGCUUAAGCACAAAAGUGAAGACUAAUAAACAAAAAUAUAGUACCUAAUCAUAUUGCAGGACUGUGAAAUACAGUAUGAAACUUCACCUGAAAGUUGGGUGUUCGAUAAUCAGGUUAGUGAAUGAUGCACCAAACAGGCAAACAUAAACUUGUUUGUCAGUGCUAACUACAUUUGAUUUUCGAAGUUACAAUGAUUUGAUGAUGUGCGGAGUUAAUUGACCGACCAAAUUACAAAAAUUUACACCUUUUUCGGUUAGUGGGCAACAGAAUGUCUCCAUCACCCUUCAAGGAAAAAUUUUCUUCAAAGUGAUUCCCGCCUAAUGUGGGUCAAAGCUAUACUAAUGUGGGUCAUAGCUAUCUCCUUAUCCAUCAGAAAAAGUUUAGCUCUGUAUACCCAUGUGAGUAUGGCAAGAGCUCCUCUACUUCAAUUCUGGAACUGGAGUAACUCAUACUUUUCUUCAGUUGGCCAUGGCUGGACUCGACCUCUGCCCAAAAUAUGCCAUAAACCGGCCUAUGAUCUGAGAACCUAGAUUCCCCACGUACAUAAGAUAAUUGCUGGAGGCCUUCUCCAUACCAUAAAAUUCUAUCACACCAAGCUGGAGUUCGACGCUUCUCCUUUGGGUGCAUAUCAUCUCCUGCAUAUCUGUCUGAAUUAGUGGAAUAUUUGUAUGUCGGUGGGAAAUAAAUCUUCCCUUCAUGCCACCCUACAAAAACACGACCUCUUCUCUGCUCUAUCCGCAACUGGUCAUUCUCCAACAAU